GUCUCUUUAAUAUAUAAGUUAAUAGUAUGAUUAAUUUCCACUUAAUUUGACCCACUGGGAAGAGAUA
This 67-nucleotide transfer RNA is filed under the name Linognathus africanus. RNAcentral's name for it is "tRNA-Gly". Lineage: Eukaryota; Metazoa; Arthropoda; Insecta; Psocodea; Linognathidae. The record is from RNAcentral.